Molecule: ribosomal RNA, 274 nt
Filed under: uncultured bacterium
Lineage: Bacteria
Description: partial 16S ribosomal RNA
Rfam family: Bacterial small subunit ribosomal RNA
Source: RNAcentral
AUACGAAGGGGGCUAGCGUUGUUCGGAAUUACUGGGCGUAAAGCGCGCGUAGGCGGAUACUUAAGUCAGGGGUGAAAUCCCGAGGCUCAACCUCGGAACUGCCCUUGAUACUGGGUAUCUUGAGUUCGAGAGAGGUAAGUGGAAUUCCGAGUGUAGAGGUGAAAUUCGUAGAUAUUCGGGGGAACACCAGAGGCGAAGGCGGCUUACUGGCUCGAUACUGACGCUGAGGCGCGAAAGCGUGGGGAGCAAACCGGAUUAGAUACCCGGGUAGUCC